GUGGAUGUAGCUCAAUGGUAGAGCGCCGGUUUGUGGCACCGGUGGCUGUGGGUUCAAGUCCCAUCAUCCACC
This 72-nucleotide transfer RNA is filed under the name Candidatus Dojkabacteria bacterium. Its description in RNAcentral is "tRNA-His". It matches the Rfam family "tRNA". From Rfam's summary of the family: Transfer RNA (tRNA) molecules are approximately 80 nucleotides in length. Their secondary structure includes four short double-helical elements and three loops (D, anti-codon, and T loops). The record is from RNAcentral.